UCCAGAGGAAAAAGGUGGUUGUGUGAGAGAGGGUUUGCAGAGAGUGGUUCCCACCAGCAGACUGGUGAGAAGCUGCCAGACAAACAAAUACUCCAAAAAGGGAGAAACAGGAUAGGAGGCAAGGGAAGACUACAGAGUCUUUAUAUAAAAUCUUCUAAGGUCUAAUCCACAGUGCGAGGAAGUCCAAAGAGAGUUGUUCCAUUGACUUCAGUAGUUUUUUGCAUCAAGCCCUAAAAGAAGACCUUUUAAGGCCUACUGAAGGAGAGACAGACAAAACACCAGAGAGGAGAAAAACCACAUCGGGCUUAGAAAGUUGGACUCAAACAGGCCUACUGAUUUAGAGCCUGAUCCUGCACCACUGGGGGAAGUUGGACAGUGUUAUUCUCUAAACACAGCCCAUCCAUCAUUCUAAGGCCCUGGUGGCUACUGUAUGUAGUUAUUAAAAUAUGAUUAAUCAUAAAGGCAGGACACUUGAUUCUGAAGGCAGCUGAAUGUUCCUGCUGUUCUUCUGGCCAUAAAACGUCAGUAACUUUGUGAAAAAUGUGACUCUCUUUCCCCUCCUGGACCGUGUUAUAAUAAAUGUAAA
Molecule: long non-coding RNA, 586 nt
Organism: Mauremys mutica (yellowpond turtle)
Lineage: Eukaryota; Metazoa; Chordata; Testudines; Geoemydidae
Exons: 3
Source: RefSeq, a predicted model, not a curated record